UUGGCUCUGGAUUUGAUUUACUAAUCAAAUCCAAUUUUGUGUGUGUCGGUCCUUCCACCUCAUGAACUUCAUCAAGUUUAAUUUUUAUAAGCAUUAGCUCCUUCACUAAGGAACUCCUUUUUUAAAAAGACUAUCCGACUGCUGACAAAUAUUUUUUGCUCUACAGCAAAAUAGAAGUAGUAUCCUUUAAUUUUCUUUAGGUACUUUAUGAACAAAUAUUUGUCGGACUUCGGUCCAAGCUUAUCUAUCUUUAAAUGCUUGACAUAAACUGGACACCCCC
RNAcentral lists this long non-coding RNA (280 nucleotides) under Elaeis guineensis (African oil palm). RNAcentral's name for it is "long non-coding RNA (EGUI_LNC044345)". Lineage: Eukaryota; Viridiplantae; Streptophyta; Magnoliopsida; Arecales; Arecaceae. The record is from RNAcentral.